UCCCCAGUGGCUCAGUGGUAAAGAAUCUGCCUUCAAUGCAGGAGAGCCAGGUUCAAUCCCUGGGUUGGGAA
Molecule: transfer RNA, 71 nt
Filed under: Bos taurus (domestic cattle)
Lineage: Eukaryota; Metazoa; Chordata; Mammalia; Artiodactyla; Bovidae
Also listed under: 2 other names
Rfam family: tRNA
About the family: Transfer RNA (tRNA) molecules are approximately 80 nucleotides in length. Their secondary structure includes four short double-helical elements and three loops (D, anti-codon, and T loops). Further hydrogen bonds mediate the characteristic L-shaped molecular structure. tRNAs have two regions of fundamental functional importance: the anti-codon, which is responsible for specific mRNA codon recognition, and the 3' end, to which the tRNAs corresponding amino acid is attached (by aminoacyl-tRNA synthetases). tRNAs cope with the degeneracy of the genetic code in two manners: having more than one tRNA (with a specific anti-codon) for a particular amino acid; and 'wobble' base-pairing, i.e. permitting non-standard base-pairing at the 3rd anti-codon position.
Source: Rfam by way of RNAcentral